GAUGAACGCUGGCGGCGCGCCUAAUACAUGCAAGUCGAACGAAACUUCUUUAUCACCGAGUGCUUGCACUCACCGAUAAAGAGUUGAGUGGCGAACGGGUGAGUAACACGUGGGCAACCUGCCCAAAAGAGGGGGAUAACACUUGGAAACAGGUGCUAAUACCGCAUAACCAUAGUUACCGCAUGGUAACUAUGUAAAAGGUGGCUAUACUACCGCUUUUGGAUGGGCCCGCGGCGCAUUAGCUAGUUGGUAGGGUAAAGGCUUACCAAGGCAAUGAUGCGUAGCCGAAUUGAGAGGUUGAUCGGCCACAUUGGGACUGAGACACGGCCCAAACUCCUACGGGAGGCAGCAGUAGGGAAUCUUCCACAAUGGGCGAAAGCCUGAUGGAGCAACGCCGCGUGGGUGAAGAAGGUCUUCGGAUCGUAAAACCCUGUUGUUAGAGAAGAAAGUGCGUGAGAGUAACUGUUCACGUUUCGACGGUAUCUAACCAGAAAGCCACGGCUAACUACGUG
Molecule: ribosomal RNA, 512 nt
Filed under: uncultured bacterium
Lineage: Bacteria
Description: partial 16S ribosomal RNA
Rfam family: Bacterial small subunit ribosomal RNA
Source: RNAcentral